UGAGUGAACCGGGCAGCCGCGGGCGUGCAAUACCGCCUGAGGAAAGUCCGGGCUUCACAGAGCAGGGCAACGGCUAACCGCCGCCGAGGGCGACCUUAGGAAAAGGGCAACAGAAAUAGACCGCCGGCUUGCCGGUAAGGAUGGAAAGGUGCGGUAAGAGCGCACCCGUUGUGUGCGAGAGUACACUCUGCUGUAAACUCUGCCCGAAGCAACACCGACCGGGGACGCGAGCAAUCGCGGCGCUUGCUCGGCGCAACCCAUCUCCGACGGGUGGCAUGGAGCGAGAGCUCCUGAGCGUACCAGCAAUGGUGCGCACAGACAGAUGACUGCCUUUAACGACAGAACCCGGCUUACAGGUUCACUCACUUG
Molecule: RNase P RNA, 369 nt
Filed under: Oscillospiraceae bacterium
Lineage: Bacteria; Bacillati; Bacillota; Clostridia; Eubacteriales; Oscillospiraceae
Description: RNase P RNA component class A
Rfam family: Bacterial RNase P class A
About the family: Ribonuclease P (RNase P) is a ubiquitous endoribonuclease, found in archaea, bacteria and eukarya as well as chloroplasts and mitochondria. Its best characterised activity is the generation of mature 5'-ends of tRNAs by cleaving the 5'-leader elements of precursor-tRNAs.
Source: RNAcentral